AGAGUUUGAUCCUGGCUCAGAGCGAACGCUGGCGGCGUGCUUAACACAUGCAAGUCGAGUGCGCGCCUGUAGCAAUACAGGUGGCGCACGGCGCACGGGUGCGUAACACGUGAGUAAUCUGCCCUUCGAUGGGGAAUAACUCCGGGAAACCGAAGCUAAUUCCGCAUAACAUUCCUUGAACCUCGGUUUGGGGAUUCAAAGCCGUAAGGCGUCGGAGGAGGAACCCGCGCACGAUUAGCUAGUUGGUAGGGUAACGGCCUACCAAGGCUUUGAUCGUUAGCUGGUCUGAGAGGAUGGCCAGCCACACUGGAACUGAGACACGGUCCAGACUCCUACGGGAGGCAGCAGUGGGGAAUCUUGCACAAUGGGCGAAAGCCUGAUGCAGCGACGCCGCGUGGGGGAUGAAGCUUCUCGGAGUGUAAACCCCUUUCGACCCGGACGAAUGCCCCGCAAGGGGACUGACGGUACGGGUAUAAGAAGCCCCGGCUAACUACGUGCCAGCAGCCGCGGUAAGACGUGGGGGGCCAGCGUUGCUCGGAAUUACUGGGUGUAAAGGGUUCGUAGGCGGUGUGGCAAGUCGGGAGUGAAAUCUCUGGGCUUAACUCAGAGACUGCUUCCGAAACUGCUGUGCUUGAGUGUGGGAGAGGCGCGUGGAAUUGCAGGUGUAGCGGUGAAAUGCGUAGAUAUCUGCAGGAACACCCGUGGCGAAAGCGGCGCGCUGGACCACUACUGACGCUGAGGAACGAAAGCUAGGGGAGCAAACAGGAUUAGAUACCCUGGUAGUCCUAGCCCUAAACGAUCAGGACUUGGGGUGCCGCACGUUCGUGCGUCGUCCCGGAGCUAACGCGUUAAGUCCUGCACCUGGGGAGUACGGUCGCAAGACUGAAACUCAAAGGAAUUGACGGGGGCCCGCACAAGCGGUGGAACAUGUGGUUCAAUUCGACGCUACGCGAGGAACCUUACCUGGGCUCGAAGCGCACUUGACUAGCUAUAGAAAUAUGGGCCUUC
Molecule: ribosomal RNA, 1008 nt
Filed under: uncultured bacterium
Lineage: Bacteria
Description: bacterial SSU rRNA
Rfam family: Bacterial small subunit ribosomal RNA
Source: RNAcentral